RNAcentral lists this unclassified non-coding RNA (257 nucleotides) under fungal sp. RNAcentral describes it as "partial internal transcribed spacer region". The stretch from base 1 to 46 matches the Rfam family "Eukaryotic small subunit ribosomal RNA", at positions 1786 to 1831 of the family's 1831-position model. The record is from RNAcentral. Lineage: Eukaryota; Fungi.
AAGUCGUAACAAGGUUUCCGUAGGUGAACCUGCGGAAGGAUCAUUAAUGAAAGUCUGGGCUCCGGCCCUCUCUCUUCUACACACUUGUGAACCUACACCGUUGCUUUGGCAGGUCUCCGGAAGGGACAUUCGAAAUGUCCCCAAAGGUCAGACCGAAAGGUGCCUGCCAAAGACAUUUUACCCACACGUUUUUAUCGUCUGAAUCUUUGUUUAUACAAAAUGAAAUAAAACUUUCAACAAUGGAUCUCUUGGCUCUG